AAAAUAAGCCCAUUUUACACACUCCGAUCAUAGACCUAGUAUUACACAUCAAUUUUCAGUCACUCUGAGUGCUAGUUCCAAACUGAUCAAAGAAGCAAAUAAAUGAAAAACUCAUCGUUGAAACAAACAAAUGGAAUAUGAUAUGAACUUCACUAUGCAGUUAUUGUGCUUCACUCGAAGGAUGUUGAGAAUCAUACAAGAUAUGGUCCUGGUUUAUAUAUAUUAGCAAGGCCACAAAAGACCCAUAGCUUGAGAGUACCACAAAAGUCCAAAACAAUUGUUCUCAGUGGGCUCUCCACGUGGUGAAUUAAUUUGUUUCCGCCUGCACUAUGCAGUAAAUUAAAAUUGCACAAAAGUUUUUUUCAAUGGCACAAUAGUUUUAGUACUAUCCUCCUAAAACUAAUUUUUGUACUAUAAUGUUUGUUACUAAAGACAAGCUAAGAAGAUAUUAUGUUGUAAUAGUUUAUGCAAGCAGGUCGCCUAUACAACUAAAUGCCAU
Molecule: ribosomal RNA, 499 nt
Filed under: Triticum aestivum (bread wheat)
Lineage: Eukaryota; Viridiplantae; Streptophyta; Magnoliopsida; Poales; Poaceae
Description: partial small subunit ribosomal RNA
Source: RNAcentral